Molecule: long non-coding RNA, 813 nt
Organism: Paralichthys olivaceus (Japanese flounder)
Lineage: Eukaryota; Metazoa; Chordata; Actinopteri; Pleuronectiformes; Paralichthyidae
Source: RefSeq, a predicted model, not a curated record
CUUUGCCAGGCUUCUGGCUUUUUUACCAGGGGAACUCAGUGAGACAAACAAACAGUCUCAUCUCAGACUAUGAUGUGAUCGGCCCGACCUUAAUUACCGCUGAGCACCUCUAAGCACCUCCAGACUGAGAGAAGCCAAAUGAGGUAGUAAGCAUGGCUCCCCGCCGUCUCCCUUCCACUGCACUGUGGAUGCAAUUGAGUAGGAGGGGAUCCCAGGGCAGACGAGGAGACGCUGGAGAAAGGACAUCUCGCAGCUGACCUGGAAGUACCUGGAUGUCCCCCAGGAGGCAGCUGAAGGACGUCGCCGUGCAGAACGAUGUCUGGACUGCUCUGAUUUCCCUGUUGCUGCUGCAGCGCUGACUUGCAUACGCAGCUCAGUUUCUAUGGGAGCAGCCAGCCCUGGGAGCCUUGAAGUCGGCGAGAAGAAGAAGAAGAAGGAAGUAAUGGCAGGUGCGCGGAAGGAGAGUGGGGGGUGCACGACGGGCCCUGAGGUUGGGCUGAGAGGUGAGGGACAGACACUGGAGUGUGUGACAAAAGGAUGAGCUUCACUGCUAAUGACUUCCACAGGGGAGACCAGCUGCUCAGCCUGCGACGGCUUCGUGCAUGCGCCGUCGCCGCCACGCAGGAUUUACUCGGCAGUGAGAUGGAGCAUGCACACGGAAGCACAAACUCUACAACUUUUGCACACACUAAAAAAAAAAAAAAAGAUUUCUCCUCCCGUUUCUUCUCUCCACCCUCACCCACUCACCCUCCUCUCACCUUUAUAAAUUCAUCUAGAUUUCUGACCAAAUAAAUAAAAAAUUCCUCCGUCUGA